GAUGAACGCUGGCGGCGUGCCUAAUACAUGCAAGUCGAGCGAACGGACGAGAAGCUUGCUUCUCUGAUGUUAGCGGCGGACGGGUGAGUAACACGUGGAUAACCUACCUAUAAGACUGGGAUAACUUCGGGAAACCGGAGAUAAUACCGGAUAAUAUUAUGAACCGCAUGGUUCAAAAGUGAAAGACGGUCUUGCUGUCACUUAUAGAUGGAUCCGCGCUGCAUUAGCUAGUUGGUAAGGUAACGGCCUACCAAGGCAACGAUGCAUAGCCGACCUGAGAGGAUGAUCGGCCACACUGGAACUGAGACACGGUCCAGACUCCUACGGGAGGCAGCAGUAGGGAAUCUUCCGCAAAGGGCGAAAGCCUGACCGAGCCACGCCGCGUGAGUGAUGAAGGUCUUCGGAUCGUAAAGCUCUGUUGUUAGGGAAGAACAUAUGUGUAAUUAUCUGUGGACAUCUUGACGGUACCUAAUCAGAAAGCCCCGGCUAACUUCGUG
This 497-nucleotide ribosomal RNA is filed under the name uncultured bacterium. RNAcentral describes it as "partial 16S ribosomal RNA". It matches the Rfam family "Bacterial small subunit ribosomal RNA", at positions 28 to 507 of the family's 1533-position model. The record is from RNAcentral.